GACGAACGCUGGCGGCGUGCUUAACACAUGCAAGUCGAACGGAAAGGCCCUGCUUUUGUGGGGUGCUCGAGUGGCGAACGGGUGAGUAACACGUGAGUAACCUGCCCUUGACUUUGGGAUAACUUCAGGAAACUGGGGCUAAUACCGGAUAGGAGCUCCUGCUGCAUGGGGGGGGUUGGAGAGUUUCGGCGGUUGGGGAUGGACUCGCGGCUUAUCAGCUUGUUGGUGGGGUAGUGGCUUACCAAGGCUUUGACGGGUAGCCGGCCUGAGAGGGUGACCGGCCACAUUGGGACUGAGAUACGGCCCAGACUCCUACGGGAGGCAGAAGUGGGGAAUAUUGCACAAUGGGCGGAAGCCUGAUGCAGCAACGCCGCGUGCGGGAUGACGGCCUUCGGGUUGUAAACCGCUUUCGCCUGUGACGAAGCGUGAGUGACGGUAAUGGGUAAAGAAGCACCGGCUAACUACGUG
This 468-nucleotide ribosomal RNA is filed under the name uncultured bacterium. Its description in RNAcentral is "partial 16S ribosomal RNA". It matches the Rfam family "Bacterial small subunit ribosomal RNA", at positions 28 to 507 of the family's 1533-position model. The record is from RNAcentral.